GACGAACGCUGGCUGCGUGCUUAACACAUGCAAGUCGAACGCUGAAGCCCCAGCUUGCUGGGGUGGAUGAGUGGCGAACGGGUGAGUAACACGUGAGUAACCUGCCCCUGACUUCGGGAUAAGCCCGGGAAACUGGGUUUAAUACCGGAUACGACUAUCGGACGCAUGUCUGGUGGUGGAAAGUUUUUUCGGUUGGGGAUGGGCUCGCGGCCUAUCAGUUUGUUGGUGAGGUAAUGGCUCACCAAGACGACGACGGGUAGCCGGCCUGAGAGGGCGACCGGCCACACUGGGACUGAGACACGGCCCAGACUCCUACGGGAGGCAGCAGUGGGGAAUAUUGCACAAUGGGGGAAACCCUGAUGCAGCGACGCAGCGUGCGGGAUGACGGCCUUCGGGUUGUAAACCGCUUUCAGCAGGGAAGAAGCCUUCGGGUGACGGUACCUGCAGAAGAAGUACCGGCUAACUACGUG
Molecule: ribosomal RNA, 470 nt
Filed under: uncultured bacterium
Lineage: Bacteria
Description: partial 16S ribosomal RNA
Rfam family: Bacterial small subunit ribosomal RNA
Source: RNAcentral